AGAACAGAUCAGUCUCAGACCCAGACCGACCCUGUCCCGAGCUGCGACGGAGCUCAGCUCCGUUCAGCUCCGUCCUCUGUCGUCCGGCCGCCUCCCGGCUCAAGGCUGGUGUCUACGGCUUCCUCUUGGCCUCGUGAUCCUCCCUGUGAUUCCAGCUUGAAGAGUGGAGCUCCGGUGAGAGAGAAAAGGAGGGAGAAGGCGACUGCCUCUCCGAUCGGGUUUCCGAUUCCGGCGACGAGCGUGAAUGGUACUAGUAGCUCCGUCUCGCCAUCCUCGUUCUAUAUGUGGUCUCGAAUUCUUCAGAGGAGCCUUCAUGAGUGAGAAUCGAUUAAUUGAAGCUCCAGGAGUUUCCCGGCGAGGGUUCGAUGCUUUCCGGCCACCGUCGAUGGCAAGUGAGCUGCUGUGAAAUGGAGAAAUUGGGGUUUUGGAAUUUGGAGUAAGCUACUGCUGCGGGUUCAUGAUACACAGGGGAGGUAAUGGGUUGUUUUGAUCCGUUCAUGCCUUCAAUUAAUAUCAUGAGCUUGUUUUGAUAUUGAUGGAGGAUUUGGAUAGUCUUUAUAUGUGUUGGUUGCUAAGACUAGGAUAGAAUUGCUACUGCGGUGGAGAUGUGUGAGAAUGAAGGAACUUUGCUAACUUUUGAAUUAUAGUUUGGCUUUGCUAUUGUAAAUGUAAGGUUUAGCAAAGUUGAACGGCACAUGGAAUAAGGAAUUGUGUAAUGGGUGCACAGUUUUGGGUGUACAAAGUAAUUUCGGAAGUUUGGAUAGAAAUGGGUGCCAUUGGAAUACGACGAUGCAUUUGGGUGUCCAGAGUAAAUUGUGAAAUCUGGUGAUUUGUCGACUACUUCAAAAUAAAGAUUCGGUACGAGGGUUGGAGGCAUGUUGCAAUUCCAGAAGCAAAAGGAUAAGGAUUUCAGAAUGCUGAGUUACUAAUUUUAGCUAGCAUCGGAAGUAGCGUUUGGAUUCCAGGUAGGGUCUCUCUCGGGGAACUUUUAAUUAAAUUGAUAAUUAUGUUAUUAUCAAAAUUGGUGCAUUGUGUGGCAUUGGUUGAUAUAACUCGUGGUUGUUAUUGUUUUUGUGAAAAGUAUGUGUAAUCGGCGAUUUAUAUAAUUAAUGUUAUCGCUUUCUAUAAAAGCAUGUAUUGGGUGAU
Molecule: RNA transcript, 1146 nt
Organism: Fragaria vesca subsp. vesca
Lineage: Eukaryota; Viridiplantae; Streptophyta; Magnoliopsida; Rosales; Rosaceae
Exons: 2
Source: RefSeq, a predicted model, not a curated record